AGUACGCCGGCAACGGUGAAACUCAAAGGAAUUGACGGGGGCCCGCACAAGCGGAGGAACAUGUGGUUUAAUUCGAUGAUACGCGAGGAACCUUACCCGGGCUUGAAUUGCAGAUGAAUUACGGUGAAAGCCGUAAGCCGCAAGGCAUCUGUGGAGGUGCUGCAUGGUUGUCGUCAGCUCGUGCCGUGAGGUGUCGGCUUAAGUGCCAUAACGAGCGCAACCCUUGUUGUCAGUUACUAACAGGCUCCGCUGAGGACUCUGACAAGACUGCCAUCGUAAGAUGUGAGGAAGGUGGGGAUGACGUCAAAUCAGCACGGCCCUUACGUCCGGGGCUACACACGUGUUACAAUGGGGGGUACAGAGGGCCGCUACCACGCGAGUGGAUGCCAAUCCCCAAAACCUCUCUCAGUUCGGACUGGAGUCUGCAACCCGACUCCACGAAGCUGGAUUCGCUAGUAAUCGCGCAUCAGCCACGGCGCGGUGAAUACGUUCCCGGGCCUUGUACACACCGCCCGUCAAGCCAUGGGAGCCGGGGGUACCUGAAGUGCGUAACCGCGAGGAGCGCCCUAGGGUAAAACUGGUGACUGGGGCUAAGUCGUAACAAGGUAGCCGUACCGGAAGGUGCGGCUGGAUCACCUC
RNAcentral lists this ribosomal RNA (639 nucleotides) under uncultured bacterium. Its description in RNAcentral is "bacterial SSU rRNA". It matches the Rfam family "Bacterial small subunit ribosomal RNA", at positions 879 to 1529 of the family's 1533-position model. The record is from RNAcentral.